Molecule: ribosomal RNA, 478 nt
Filed under: uncultured fungus
Lineage: Eukaryota; Fungi
Description: eukaryotic LSU rRNA
Rfam family: 5.8S ribosomal RNA (bases 124-277)
Source: RNAcentral
UAACCCUUUGUUGUCCGACUCUGUUGCCUCCGGGGCGACCCUGCCUUCGGGCGGGGGCUCCGGGUGGACACUUCAAACUCUUGCGUAACUUUGCAGUCUGAGUAAACUUAAUUAAUAAAUUAAAACUUUUAACAACGGAUCUCUUGGUUCUGGCAUCGAUGAAGAACGCAGCGAAAUGCGAUAAGUAAUGUGAAUUGCAGAAUUCAGUGAAUCAUCGAAUCUUUGAACGCACAUUGCGCCCCCUGGUAUUCCGGGGGGCAUGCCUGUUCGAGCGUCAUUUCACCACUCAAGCCUCGCUUGGUAUUGGGCAACGCGGUCCGCCGCGUGCCUCAAAUCGUCCGGCUGGGUCUUCUGUCCCCUAAGCGUUGUGGAAACUAUUCGCUAAAGGGUGUUCGGGAGGCUACGCCGUAAAACAACCCCAUUUCUAAGGUUGACCUCGGAUCAGGUAGGGAUACCCGCUGAACUUAAGCAUAUCAAU